UAAGAAGCUACAUCUAGCUUGUCCUUAGCCUACGAGAGGGGCUUCCACCAAAGAACUGUCAUAGGCUGAAGGCAAAAAGGAAGCCUUAAAACCUACUUCCUCUUGCCAACAUAGCCUGAUCCCUUACUUGUAUAGUGCUAAGGCCCAUCUGACUUGCAAGAUAGCUUCACCUAGGCUAUGCCCAAAAUGAUCCACUAGAGGAGAUGAACCCACAUUGUUACCAGACCUUGCCCUUUUUUGUCUAUCAGCCUCUAAGGAAGUUAGGCCCCUUACUCCUGCUUCAAACUUCUUUGGCCCCUUGAUGGAUAUCCUUUCUCCCAUAUUUUCACGCAACACAUCAUUCCUCCCUACGCUCCCACCAACUCUUGAAGACACCUCCAUUCUUUCCCCAACUUCCAACCUAUUGCAACCUUGCUUUGGUACUACUGUAAUCAUCCAUGGCAGAAUCUCCCACCAAAGUUGAAUUCAACAAGAAAGCCUUAUCACCACUUGCAAAUUACA
RNAcentral lists this long non-coding RNA (501 nucleotides) under Vitis vinifera (wine grape). Its description in RNAcentral is "long non-coding RNA (VVIN_LNC007748)". The record is from RNAcentral. Lineage: Eukaryota; Viridiplantae; Streptophyta; Magnoliopsida; Vitales; Vitaceae.